GCGGUUGUAGUGUAGUGGCUAUCACUCGAGCCUGCCACGCUCGCGACCCGGGUUCGAAUCCCGGCAACCGCA
Molecule: transfer RNA, 72 nt
Filed under: Candidatus Methanofastidiosia archaeon
Lineage: Archaea; Methanobacteriati; Methanobacteriota; Candidatus Methanofastidiosia
Also listed under: 1 other name
Description: tRNA-Gly
Rfam family: tRNA
About the family: Transfer RNA (tRNA) molecules are approximately 80 nucleotides in length. Their secondary structure includes four short double-helical elements and three loops (D, anti-codon, and T loops). Further hydrogen bonds mediate the characteristic L-shaped molecular structure. tRNAs have two regions of fundamental functional importance: the anti-codon, which is responsible for specific mRNA codon recognition, and the 3' end, to which the tRNAs corresponding amino acid is attached (by aminoacyl-tRNA synthetases). tRNAs cope with the degeneracy of the genetic code in two manners: having more than one tRNA (with a specific anti-codon) for a particular amino acid; and 'wobble' base-pairing, i.e. permitting non-standard base-pairing at the 3rd anti-codon position.
Source: RNAcentral